GACAGAGGGUGCAAACGUUGUUCGGAAUUACUGGGCGUAAAGCGUGUGUAGGCGGCUUUGCAAGUCGGAUGUGAAAGCCCCGGGCUCGAACCCGGGAAUGCACUCGAUACUGCAGAGCUUGAGUGUCGGAGAGGUUGGUGGAAUUCUCGGUGUAGAGGUGAAAAUUCGUAGAUAUCGAGAGGAAACACCGGGCGGCGGAAGGCGGCCAACUGGACGAACACUGA
This 224-nucleotide ribosomal RNA is filed under the name uncultured bacterium. RNAcentral describes it as "partial 16S ribosomal RNA". It matches the Rfam family "Bacterial small subunit ribosomal RNA", at positions 524 to 743 of the family's 1533-position model. The record is from RNAcentral.